GGACCCGCACAAGCGGUGGAUUAUGUGGAUUAAUUCGAUGCAACGCGAAAAACCUUACCUACCCUUGACAUGUCCGAGAGCCUGCUGAAAGGCGGGUGUGCCCGAAAGGGAAUCGGAACACAGGUGCUGCAUGGCUGUCGUCAGCUCGUGUCGUGAGAUGUUGGGUUAAGUCCCGCAACGAGCGCAACCCUUGUCAUUAGUUGCUACCGCAAGGAGCACUCUAAUGAGACUGCCGGUGACAAACCGGAGGAAGGUGGGGAUGACGUCAAGUCCUCAUGGCCCUUAUGGGUAGGGCUUCACACGUAAUACAAUGGCGCGUACAGAGGGUUGCCAAGGGGCGACCUGGAGCCAAUCCCUUAAAGCGCGUCGUAGUCCGGAUAGGAGUCUGCAACUCGACUCCUUGAAGUCGGAAUCGCUAGUAAUCGCGGAUCAGCAUGUCGCGGUGAAUACGUUCCCGGGUCUU
This 463-nucleotide ribosomal RNA is filed under the name uncultured bacterium. RNAcentral describes it as "bacterial SSU rRNA". It matches the Rfam family "Bacterial small subunit ribosomal RNA", at positions 917 to 1382 of the family's 1533-position model. The record is from RNAcentral.